This is a long non-coding RNA of Quercus robur (English oak), 456 nucleotides long. RefSeq lists it as uncharacterized. The transcript is spliced from 3 exons. NCBI's taxonomy places the organism in Eukaryota, Viridiplantae, Streptophyta, Magnoliopsida, Fagales, Fagaceae. The record is from RefSeq and is a predicted model, not a curated record.
UUCCUCUAAACAAUUGGCCUUGAACUGUUGCCUUCUCACAAAUUGACUCCUGUCACAGUCAAAGAGUGGUGGAGAAGUAUUAAAAUUCUCUAGUGUGGUACUUGGUUUUUUAGAACCUCUCUUGAGACCCUCCUCAAAAACUGUUGCUCUUGAUCCUGCUGAAGACAUAGAUGUGAAAACAGAAAGAAAUAGGGUACUUUCAGGCUAAAUUGAUAAUGCCAUCAUCUACUUGCGUAAUCUUCAGAAGUGUAUCCUGGAGGAAUGCAUCACUGCACUAAGGUCGCAGUACAAUCACUGACUUUCUCAGUUCAAGCGGGAGAAUGUUUUGGAUUUUUAGGAUCAAAUGGAGCUGGGAAAACCACAACACUUUCAAAGCUGUCUGGAGAAGAAUCCCCAACUGAUGGAACUGCUUUUAUUUUUGGCAAAGAUAUAUGUUCCAAUCCCAGGGCUGCUCGU